This 72-nucleotide transfer RNA is filed under the name Ictidomys tridecemlineatus (thirteen-lined ground squirrel). Its description in RNAcentral is "Spermophilus tridecemlineatus (thirteen-lined ground squirrel) tRNA". It matches the Rfam family "tRNA". From Rfam's summary of the family: Transfer RNA (tRNA) molecules are approximately 80 nucleotides in length. Their secondary structure includes four short double-helical elements and three loops (D, anti-codon, and T loops). Further hydrogen bonds mediate the characteristic L-shaped molecular structure. tRNAs have two regions of fundamental functional importance: the anti-codon, which is responsible for specific mRNA codon recognition, and the 3' end, to which the tRNAs corresponding amino acid is attached (by aminoacyl-tRNA synthetases). tRNAs cope with the degeneracy of the genetic code in two manners: having more than one tRNA (with a specific anti-codon) for a particular amino acid; and 'wobble' base-pairing, i.e. permitting non-standard base-pairing at the 3rd anti-codon position. The record is from Rfam by way of RNAcentral. Lineage: Eukaryota; Metazoa; Chordata; Mammalia; Rodentia; Sciuridae.
GGGAGUGUAGCUCAAUGGUGGAGCAUUUGCCUAGCAUGCAUGAGGCCCUGGAUUCAAUUCCUGGUGCUGCAA